AUACGUAGGUGACAAGCGUUAUCCGGAUUUACUGGGUGUAAAGGGCGUGUAGGCGGUUUAGCAAGUCAGAAGUGAAAUUCCCGGGCUUAACUUGGGCGCUGCUUCUGAAACUGCUUUACUUGAGUGCUGGAGAGGAUAGUGGAAUUCCUAGUGUAGCGGUAAAAUGCGCAGAUAUUAGGAGGAACACCGGUGGCGAAGGCGGCUAUCUGGGCAGUAACUGACGCUGAGGCGCGAAAGCACGGGGAGCAAACAGGAUUAGAUACCCUGGUAGUCCGUGCCGUAAACGAUGAAUACUAGGUGUAGGGGGUAUCGACUCCCUCUGUGCCGCAGUUAACACAUUAAGUAUUCCACCUGGGGAGUACGGCCGCAAGGUUGAAACUCAAAUGAAUUGACGGGG
RNAcentral lists this ribosomal RNA (397 nucleotides) under uncultured bacterium. RNAcentral describes it as "partial 16S ribosomal RNA". It matches the Rfam family "Bacterial small subunit ribosomal RNA", at positions 523 to 918 of the family's 1533-position model. The record is from RNAcentral.